AAGGAAGGAAAUGCUCUCCCAGUCUCUUCAACAUGUUAGUGAACUACUUCCAAAUACUUCUUUGGAGGACCUUGUGAAAGAUUUGGUUGGUCAGACAUCAGGAUUCAUGCCAAGGGAUCUGCGAGCUUUAGUUGCUGAUGUUGGUGCAAAUCUAGUCCAUAGUCACGCUAGUCAGGAUGUGAAGGUUGUGCAUGGAGAUCUGAAAGAGGGUUCUCAUGAGAGCAAGCCAAUUGAGAAUGAUGGCUCACAUGACUCGGCAAAGUCACUAAGCAAAGAAGAUGUGAUGAAAUCUCUGGAACGAUCAAAGAAAAGAAAUGCAACAGCAUUGGGUACUCCAAAGGUUCCAAAUGUCAAAUGGGAAGAUGUUGGUGGGCUUGAGGACGUGAAGAAAUCAAUUUUGGACACUGUACAGCUGCCUCUUUUACAUAAGGACUUGUUUUCGUCUGGAUUGCGCAAGCGAUCUGGGGUUCUUUUCUAUGGACCUCCUGGUACAGGAAAAACUUUACUGGCAAAAGCUGUUGCUACUGAAUGCUCCCUGAAUUUUCUCAGUGUGAAAGGGCCUGAGUUGAUUAACAUGUACAUAGGAGAAUCAGAAAAAAAUGUUCGGGACAUUUUUCAGAAGGCCAGAUCAGCUCGACCAUGUGUCAUCUUCUUCGAUGAACUUGACUCGCUUGCUCCUGCCAGGGGUGCUUCUGGGGACUCCGGGGGCGUUAUGGAUCGAGUGGUUUCUCAGAUGCUUGCUGAGAUUGAUGGCCUGAACGACUCUACCCAGGACUUGUUUAUUAUUGGAGCUAGCAACAGGCCAGAUCUUAUUGAUCCUGCCCUUUUGAGGCCAGGGCGAUUCGAUAAGCUCCUUUAUGUUGGUGUUAAUUCUGAAGCCUCGUACAGGGAGAGGGUCCUUAAAGCACUUACGCGGAAGUUUAAAUUGAAAGAAGAUAUAUCUUUACUCUCAAUAGCAAAAAGGUGUCCUCCAAACUUCACGGGAGCCGACAUGUAUGCACUGUGUGCUGAUGCUUGGUUUCAUGCUGCGAAGCGCAAGGCAUUAGCUUCAGAUUCGGAUUCAACUGGCUCAGAGGAAAUGGAUGUCUCAAUUAUCGUGGAAUACGAGGAUUUUUUAAAGGUCUUGGGAGAGAUCUCCCCCUCGUUGUCAAUGGCGGAGCUUAAAAAGUAUGAGUUGCUCCGGGAACAGUUUGAAGGACCAUCAAGAUGACAGAGGCGUUGCUCAGGAACACUGAAGUGUCCCGUGCACGGAUAGGGUUCUUCCUACCAAUGGGUCAGGGAUUCGAGUCGUGACUCACCCAAAUGCCCCCCAGUUGGCCCUCUCUCCUUUAUUUUGUGUCAUUUCAGUCGUUUCGACAGGAAGAAAGAUAAAAAGGAUACUCAAGAUAGAUUAUGGAUCUGCUUUCUACUUCCCAUUUUGAGCUAGAGUUGAUAAUAAUUGUCAUUCAGCAUUUGUUUUUGUGUAUAGAGUAAAAUAAAAU
RNAcentral lists this unclassified non-coding RNA (1481 nucleotides) under Hevea brasiliensis (rubber tree). Lineage: Eukaryota; Viridiplantae; Streptophyta; Magnoliopsida; Malpighiales; Euphorbiaceae. The record is from RNAcentral.